GAGGGUAUAGCUCAGUGGUAGAGUGCAUGCUUAGCAUGCACGAAGUCCUGGGUUCAAUCCCCAGUGCCCUCA
Molecule: transfer RNA, 72 nt
Filed under: Camelus bactrianus (Bactrian camel)
Lineage: Eukaryota; Metazoa; Chordata; Mammalia; Artiodactyla; Camelidae
Also listed under: 1 other name
Rfam family: tRNA
About the family: Transfer RNA (tRNA) molecules are approximately 80 nucleotides in length. Their secondary structure includes four short double-helical elements and three loops (D, anti-codon, and T loops). Further hydrogen bonds mediate the characteristic L-shaped molecular structure. tRNAs have two regions of fundamental functional importance: the anti-codon, which is responsible for specific mRNA codon recognition, and the 3' end, to which the tRNAs corresponding amino acid is attached (by aminoacyl-tRNA synthetases). tRNAs cope with the degeneracy of the genetic code in two manners: having more than one tRNA (with a specific anti-codon) for a particular amino acid; and 'wobble' base-pairing, i.e. permitting non-standard base-pairing at the 3rd anti-codon position.
Source: Rfam by way of RNAcentral